CACCCUCCCCCUUCCCUGCUCCUGCCAUGCAAGCUGAGCGCCCUCCCCUGUUUCCCUCUCCCGGCGUCGAGUUUCUCCACUCUGGUGCCCUCCAGCAGGCGAGCAAUAGUGCCAUAGCGAAUCCCCGCGCUCCCUACGUCGGUCUCUAGCCAGCUCCCCCUGCGAGCUCCCUCAGAUCUGGGUCGAUCACCAAGCUCCCUUCCUCUCCCCCAUGGAGAGUUUCCCCCUGCAUCUCCCCAUGGCGCUACUACCUCCAGGACGGAGCUCGACACCCCAAAGGUUGGAAUCCGACCCCCUCUCUGUUCCCCUCAAUUUCGAGCUUCCCUGGCGUUUUUUGCCCUGCAGAAAUUCCCCCCUGGGCGCUGGAGGCGCCUAGCUCACGCUGGAGCACGCAAGGCUUGACCGACGCCCUUUCCAUGGCUGGCUUUGAGCAGUGGGCCGAGCCCCUCUUCUUGCCAUGGCACUUGACCCUGCUCCUCCUCUCUUCCCCCACAAAGCAGCAGCCGCAGCAGCUCUUUCUCCAUGGACGCCCACACCCCACUGUUUUCCCUCCUUUUCCCCAUCGUUGUGCAGCCCCACUGUGGCGAACGCCGCUGUUCCUGCAGCUCGUGCAUCGCGGCGCGCGUCAUGUGUUCGACAUAAUGCUAAAAAGGGGCAUUGUGUCGUGGACAGCGCCUUGGUGGUGCCCUGUGUCCUCGCUACUCGCUGCACAGCCUCGUCUUGCGCUUGCCUACUCUCCAAGCAGCACCAGUAGCAGCGCUCCUUGCGCUCGACCUCGGCAAGGACGAGCAGCCCCAUCCUCGACGCCAAAAUUCUUCGGUGAGACCUCGCUGUUCCGUGUUGCUUGAUUUUAUAAAAUAACUGAACAAAUAAGCCAUGAAAUAAUUGU
Molecule: RNA transcript, 889 nt
Organism: Zea mays
Lineage: Eukaryota; Viridiplantae; Streptophyta; Magnoliopsida; Poales; Poaceae
Exons: 1
Source: RefSeq, a predicted model, not a curated record